AUUGAACGCUGGCGGCAGGCCUAACACAUGCAAGUCGAACGGUAACAGAAAGCAGCUUGCUGCUUUGCUGACGAGUGGCGGACGGGUGAGUCAUGUCUGGGAAACUGCCUGAUGGAGGGGGAUAACUACUGGAAACGGUAGCUAAUACCGCAUAACGUCGCAAGACCAAAGAGGGGGACCUUCGGGCCUCUUGCCAUCGGAUGUGCCCAGAUGGGAUUAGCUUGUUGGUGGGGUAACGGCUCACCAAGGCGACGAUCCCUAGCUGGUCUGAGAGGAUGACCAGCCACACUGGAACUGAGACACGGUCCAGACUCCUACGGGAGGCAGCAGUGGGGAAUAUUGCACAAUGGGCGCAAGCCUGAUGCAGCCAUGCCGCGUGUAUGAAGAAGGCCUUCGGGUUGUAAAGUACUUUCAGCGGGGAGGAAGGGAGUAAAGUUAAUACCUUUGCUCAUUGACGUUACCCGCAGAAGAAGCACCGGCUAACUCCGUG
This 490-nucleotide ribosomal RNA is filed under the name uncultured bacterium. RNAcentral's name for it is "partial 16S ribosomal RNA". It matches the Rfam family "Bacterial small subunit ribosomal RNA", at positions 30 to 507 of the family's 1533-position model. The record is from RNAcentral.